AUCACUUCUCAGCCUUUUGGCUAAGAUCAAGUGCAGUAUUUGUUUUUAUCAGUUUAAAGCAUAUGACUGGAAAAUCUCCAACAUCAGAAAUUAGGGGCUAAUGAUACAUAUGCUAGAAAAUGGAUACAAAUUAAAUCCAAAGCUAAAUGAUUCUUU
RNAcentral lists this small nuclear RNA (156 nucleotides) under Chlorocebus sabaeus (green monkey). RNAcentral's name for it is "U2 spliceosomal RNA". It matches the Rfam family "U2 spliceosomal RNA". Rfam says of the family: U2 is a small nuclear RNA (snRNA) component of the spliceosome (involved in pre-mRNA splicing). Complementary binding between U2 snRNA (in an area lying towards the 5' end but 3' to hairpin I) and the branchpoint sequence (BPS) of the intron results the bulging out of an unpaired adenosine, on the BPS, which initiates a nucleophilic attack at the intronic 5' splice site, thus starting the first of two transesterification reactions that mediate splicing. The record is from Rfam by way of RNAcentral. Lineage: Eukaryota; Metazoa; Chordata; Mammalia; Primates; Cercopithecidae.